UUACGGGAGGCAGCAGUGGGGAAUAUUGGACAAUGGGCGCAAGCCUGAUCCAGCCAUGCCGCGUGAGUGAAGAAGGCCUUAGGGUUGUAAAGCUCUUUUAGUGGGGACGAUAAUGACGGUACCCACAGAAUAAGCCCCGGCUAACUUCGUGCCAGCAGCCGCGGUAAUACGAAGGGGGCUAGCGUUGUUCGGAAUCACUGGGCGUAAAGCGCAUGCAGGCGGACUGAUCAGUCGGGGGUGAAAGCCCGGGGCUCAACCUCGGAACUGCCUUCGAUACUGUCAGUCUUGAGUCCGGGAGAGGUGAGUGGAAUUCCUAGUGUAGAGGUGAAAUUCGUAGAUAUUAGGAAGAACACCAGUGGCGAAGGCGACUCACUGGCCCGGUACUGACGCUCAGAUGCGAAAGCGUGGGGAGCAAACAGGAUUAGAUACCCUGGUAGA
Molecule: ribosomal RNA, 438 nt
Filed under: uncultured bacterium
Lineage: Bacteria
Description: bacterial SSU rRNA
Rfam family: Bacterial small subunit ribosomal RNA
Source: RNAcentral